UUGACCUCAGAUCAGGUAGGAAGACCGCCUGAACUUAAGCAUAUCAAUAAGGCGAGGAACAGAAACCAACUGGGAUUCCCUCAGUAGUGGCGAAUGAACCGGGAAAAGCUCAAGUUUGAAAUCUGACUUCUGUCAGAGUUGUAAGCUGAAGAGGCUUCGACCGAUGUGGCUCGGGCUCAAUUCUCUUGGGAUAGAGAGUCAUGGAGGAUGAGAACCCCGUUCGUGGCCCAGUAGCCUUCAUCCUUGUGUCGUUUCCUCUAAGAGUCGGGUUGUUUGGGAAUGCAGCUCAAAAUGGGUGGUAAAUUUCAUCUAAAGCUAAAUAUUGGCAAGAGACCGAUAGCAAACAAGUAGAGUAAUCGAAAGAUGAAAAGUACUUUGAAAAGAGAGUGAAACAGUGCGUGAAAUUGUUGAAAGGGAACCGUUUGGUAUCAGCCCAUGGCCGUCUCUGAUCACCCAGACUUCUGUCUGGUGCACUCGGAGGUGGUCGGGCCAGCAUCGACUUUGCCCGCCGGAGAAAGGCCCAGGGAACGUGACUCUUAUGGAGUGUUAUAGCCCUGUGUGUCAUGCGGCGUGGUGGGGUCGAGGUCUGCGGUCUCCUAGGAU
RNAcentral lists this ribosomal RNA (603 nucleotides) under uncultured fungus. RNAcentral's name for it is "eukaryotic LSU rRNA". It matches the Rfam family "Eukaryotic large subunit ribosomal RNA", at positions 1 to 609 of the family's 3401-position model. Lineage: Eukaryota; Fungi. The record is from RNAcentral.